RNAcentral lists this small nuclear RNA (167 nucleotides) under Pogona vitticeps (central bearded dragon). RNAcentral's name for it is "U1 spliceosomal RNA (ENSPVIG00000010950.1)". It matches the Rfam family "U1 spliceosomal RNA". Rfam says of the family: U1 is a small nuclear RNA (snRNA) component of the spliceosome (involved in pre-mRNA splicing). The record is from Rfam by way of RNAcentral. Lineage: Eukaryota; Metazoa; Chordata; Lepidosauria; Squamata; Agamidae.
ACUCAUACCUUGCAGGAGAAAUGCCAUGUCAUAAAAGUGGUUCUCCUAGGGGGAGGUUUAUCUAUUACACUUGCAAUAUGCUGUUCAUCCCUGUGGUUUCUCCAAAUGUGGGAAACUUAACUGCAUAAUUUGUGUUAAUGAGAGAAUUACAUUUAUGAUUCCUGUUU